RNAcentral lists this long non-coding RNA (257 nucleotides) under Elaeis guineensis (African oil palm). RNAcentral describes it as "long non-coding RNA (EGUI_LNC041967)". Lineage: Eukaryota; Viridiplantae; Streptophyta; Magnoliopsida; Arecales; Arecaceae. The record is from RNAcentral.
GAGACCACCAUGGUGAUUUGUAAGCAACUCACUGUACUUUAAUACCAAACUAUUUGAGUUUCUAACUUAGUGAUGGAAGGAUACUAGGUGCAGUCAAGUACUUAUCAAGUUAGUGUGUAGUGAAGAUGGAAUUGACCCCUCUGAAUUGGUAGGAGAUAUGCAUCAGUGUAUUUCAAUUUAGCAAAAUCUUGGUUAGGAUAAUCUAUGAGAUAGAUUUGAAAGGUUGAAAUAUAAUGUGGUUGACUUAAUUAGGGUUG